This is an RNA transcript of Brassica rapa (field mustard), 502 nucleotides long. RefSeq lists it as uncharacterized. The record is from RefSeq and is a predicted model, not a curated record. NCBI's taxonomy places the organism in Eukaryota, Viridiplantae, Streptophyta, Magnoliopsida, Brassicales, Brassicaceae.
CCAAUAACAAUGACCUAUCAAUCAUCUGUCGUGACUUUCCAUCGUCAAAGCAGUCAUCUGAAACCAAAGUUUGAGAGAAAGAGAGAGUAGAGAUGAGGUUGUUCGAUCCAUGGCCGGUGUUCUUCAAAAGGGAGUGGAAACGUUGUUGGCCGUUUCUCACCGGAUUCGCCGUAACCGGCGUCCUCAUCACCAAGCUCACCGCUGGAUUCACUGAGGAAGACGCCAAGAACUCCAAGUUCGUCCAGCAACACAGGCGGUGAUCUACUCAAGUGAACUCUAUUGCUGAGAGUGCUUUCAGACUUUAUUAUUCUAAUAAACAUAAAAGAGAGAAUCCUACUUACUUCUUGUUGAUCUCUCGUUUCCUUUCAUCUUUUGUCUUUUCACAACUCUCGAAACAGUGUUAAGUUUGAAAUGGUUUGAUUCCAAUCUUUUCCCCCUUAUGUUUGAAAUGGAUUGGCUCUAUUUUUGUUAUGUUGAAUCGAAUAUAGAUGGCUGACCAUCA